GAAGAUCUUCGUUGGCUCCAAGCGGUUCUCCUACUCAUUUGUAGUUUGCUUGGUUGCCAGUGGGGUGGUGUAUCAGUGUCUGAUACCUCCAUAUCUUGCCAUAGGUAUGUGUUGUGUGCGAUGGGGGUGUCUAUUUGUAUCGGUCUCUCGGUUGUAAUCGGUGAUGGUUGCUUUAUAAUAUAAAGAAGUGGGAGGGGGCCUUUUUG
This 206-nucleotide long non-coding RNA is filed under the name Hordeum vulgare. RNAcentral's name for it is "long non-coding RNA (HVUL_LNC002281)". Lineage: Eukaryota; Viridiplantae; Streptophyta; Magnoliopsida; Poales; Poaceae. The record is from RNAcentral.